Molecule: non-coding RNA, 887 nt
Organism: Odocoileus virginianus texanus
Lineage: Eukaryota; Metazoa; Chordata; Mammalia; Artiodactyla; Cervidae
Source: RefSeq, a predicted model, not a curated record
GCUGCCCGCCCGCUCCGAAUUUUCGGGGCGGGGGCAGGCGGACUGAGCUCCUCUCCUGAAGUGAUUCCGCACGCAUUUGUUUCGGGGUCCCGGCCUUAACCUCCUGAGCUUUACAACGGGGAAUAGUCUUUGCCGGCUCGCCCACCGUGUGGUGGCUGGAUAAUAUAUAUUCCGGCUGAGAGAGACUUGUCAACUAUCCCGCCGGGUGGCAGUUCACAGCCCUCCCAGAUUGGAGGGUGGUGAAGUGAGGGGGUUUCAGGUCCCGGCCUGCGACCUCCCAGUAGGAGGGGCUGGUGGUCGUUUAGGUUCCGCGAAGCCCGCCACGCUUCAGGCCAGGACACGUGAUGCCCUUGGGGGCAGUCGGGCCGCAUUGUCCCUGAAUCCUGCCUAGAGCAGAGCAGCCUUCCUGGAGCCCUGUACUAGGCUCUUGGUCGUCCUCACCAUCUCGCCGUGGGCAGCUGCCCCAGCGAGAGACUCAGAAACUCCUGCCUGGAGCAGGAGCUGAGCGUCACCCAAAACCCAGGUUGAAAGGGGACCCUCUAGGUUGUCCUGAGCUGUGGACACGGUGGAGGCGACCCUGGGUCUCAUCGGAAAAUCAAACCCAGAGAAGAAAUUGGUCUCUGAUGAUCAAACCUCCUGGGAGAGUCGCAAUUGAAGACAUCCCCAAACUUUUUACAAAGCUAUAAAUCUAGAAGAAAAAGAAGCUACAUGGAUGGAGGGAGACAGUUAAGAAUUACAAGAUAUUUUAGCAAUAGAAUUCAAAGGACUAAAGAAUCUGUGUGAUGCUACAGAUGAAAGCUGCACCCAGACUGUCAGAGAUCUGAACAGAAGGCCCAUCAUGACUGUGGGACUGGGGCAAAUGGACGUUGGGGUUCAACUUCUCUGAG